Molecule: ribosomal RNA, 235 nt
Filed under: uncultured bacterium
Lineage: Bacteria
Description: partial 16S ribosomal RNA
Rfam family: Bacterial small subunit ribosomal RNA
Source: RNAcentral
CGCACGGGUGAGUAACACGUAUCCAACCUGCCGUCUACUCUUGGCCAGCCUUCUGAAAGGAAGAUUAAUCCAGGAUGGCAUCAUGAGUUCACAUGUCCGCAUGAUUAAAGGUAUUUUCCGGUAGACGAUGGGGAUGCGUUCCAUUAGAUAGUAGGCGGGGUAACGGCCCACCUAGUCAACGAUGGAUAGGGGUUCUGAGAGGAAGGUCCCCCACUGGAACUGAGACACGGCCCAA